UCGAGAAUCAUUCGCAAUGGGCGAAAGCCUGACGAUGCGACGCCGUGUGAGCGACGAAGGCCUUAGGGUUGUAAAGCUCUUUCGCUUGGGAACAAGAGAUGUUGGCUAAUAUCCAGCAAAUUUGAGGGUACCAGGUAAAGAAGCACCGGCUAACUCCGUGCCAGCAGCUGCGGUAAUACGGAGGGUGCAAGCAUUAAUCGGAUUUAUUGGGCGUAAAGGGCGCGUAGGCGGCGUGAAAAGUCAGAUGUGAAAUCCCGGGGCUCAACCCCGGAACAGCAUUUGAAACUCUCACACUAGAGGGUAGGCGGAGAAAACGGAAUUCCACAAGUAGCGGUGAAAUGCGUAGAUAUGUGGAAGAACACCGGUGGCGAAGGCGGUUUUCUAGCUUAUUCCUGACGCUGAGGCGCGAAAGCAAGGGGAUCAAACAGG
Molecule: ribosomal RNA, 429 nt
Filed under: uncultured bacterium
Lineage: Bacteria
Description: bacterial SSU rRNA
Rfam family: Bacterial small subunit ribosomal RNA
Source: RNAcentral